RNAcentral lists this ribosomal RNA (728 nucleotides) under uncultured bacterium. RNAcentral describes it as "bacterial SSU rRNA". It matches the Rfam family "Bacterial small subunit ribosomal RNA", at positions 173 to 917 of the family's 1533-position model. The record is from RNAcentral.
UGACCAGAAGUGACAUCACUCCUGGUGGAAAGAACUUCGGUGAGGGAUGGGACCGCGGCCUAUCAGCUAGUUGGUGGGGUAACGGCCCACCAAGGCGACGACGGGUAGCCGACCUGAGAGGGCGACCGACCACACUGGGACUGAGACACGGCCCAGACUCCUACGGGAGGCAGCAGUGGGGAAUAUUGCGCAAUGGGCGAAAGCCUGACGCAGCGACGCAGCGUGAGGGACGACGGCCUUCGGGUUGUAAACCUCUUUCAGCGGGGACGAAGCGAAAGUGACGGUACCCGCAGAAGAAGCCCCGGCUAACUACGUGCCAGCAGCCGCGGUAAUACGUAGGGUGCAAGCAUUGUCCGGAUUUAUUGGGCGUAAAGAGCUCGUAGGCGGCUAGUCACGUCGGGUGUGAAAACUCGGGGCUUAACCCCGAGCCUGCACUCGAUACGGGCUGGCUAGAGUGUUGCAGGGGAGACUGGAAUUCCUGGUGUAGCGGUGAAAUGCGCAGAUAUCAGGAGGAACACCGGUGGCGAAGGCGGGUCUCUGGGCAACUACUGACGCUGAGGAGCGAAAGCGUGGGGAGCGAACAGGAUUAGAUACCCUGGUAGUCCACGCCGUAAACGUUGGGCGCUAGGUGUGGGGAACCUUCCACGUUCUCCGUGCCGUAGCUAACGCAUUAAGCGCCCCGCCUGGGGAGUACGGCCGCAAGGCUAAAACUCAAAGGAAUUGACGGG